GCUAGGGUUUAUGGGAGGCUUGUUACUCUGUUGCCUUUGUAAUUUUUUUUUGUUCACAAUAUACAUAAAUAUUAUUUUUUUUGCCUUCGUAUUGAUAUUUUAUAACAUAUGUAUCGUUAUUUUUAUAAAUUUUAAGUUUCAUUUUUUUAUAGUACAAAAAGUACACAUAGAUGUGAAACAUGAGAGAGAGUGAAUCUGCCAAAAUUUGUAUUAUAGUGGGGGUAAUAAUACUCACUUUAUGUAUGAUUUGAUUGCACAUAAAAUAAUAGAAUUACACAUAAAAUUAUAGAAUUGCACAUAAAAUAAUAGGAAAUUAU
RNAcentral lists this long non-coding RNA (317 nucleotides) under Salvia miltiorrhiza (redroot sage). RNAcentral describes it as "long non-coding RNA (SMIL_LNC010146)". Lineage: Eukaryota; Viridiplantae; Streptophyta; Magnoliopsida; Lamiales; Lamiaceae. The record is from RNAcentral.